Molecule: ribosomal RNA, 253 nt
Filed under: uncultured bacterium
Lineage: Bacteria
Description: partial 16S ribosomal RNA
Rfam family: Bacterial small subunit ribosomal RNA
Source: RNAcentral
UACGUAGGGACCGAGCGUUGUCCGGAAUCAUUGGGCGUAAAGAGCGUGUAGGCGGCCACUUAAGUCCUGCGUGAAAUCUUGCGGCUCAACCGCAAGCGGUCGUGGGAAACUGGGUGGCUAGAGUGCGGGAGAGGAGAAUGGAAUUCCUGGUGUAGCGGUGAAAUGCGCAGAUAUCAGGAAGAACACCAAUGGCGAAGGCAGCUCUCUGGGACGGUACUGACGCUGAGACGCGAAAGCGUGGGGAGCAAACGGG